This is a long non-coding RNA of Gopherus evgoodei (Goodes thornscrub tortoise), 1195 nucleotides long. RefSeq lists it as uncharacterized. The transcript is spliced from 5 exons. The record is from RefSeq and is a predicted model, not a curated record. NCBI's taxonomy places the organism in Eukaryota, Metazoa, Chordata, Testudines, Testudinidae.
ACAUGCUACGGACUACAUUUUUGGAAAAGGAGUGAGAUUGUUGCUGUGGGGCUCUGUCUGUACCAGAAGCUGCUGCUGAGAGCCUGCAGGGGCUUUGAUCGAGCAGGAAGCCUCAGAGGCUGUUGGUGGUUUCACUGGAGUCAGAGCAGAGACUGUUGCUGUGCCUAGAGCUGAAGGAAGUGGGCCUGCAGUGAAGGAAUUGUGAGUAACCUGCACUCUUGUUUGGGAAAGUACUGGCAAGGGAAGGGGCACAGCAGAGAGACUGAGUCUGAGGAGAGGCAGAGUGAUCUUCCCAUUGAACCAGAACCCAGAGCUGCUGCCAUUUGGUGGGGCCAGCUCCAAUCCUCAGAGGGGUUGUGCAGCUUGGCUGGACUGAUGCAUAGAACCAACAGAGCGCUGUCUCCAGCUGCAGAUCUUCAAGCACUCCCACACAAGUGCCUAGGACUCUGAAAUCCAGAGGAGUGUACACUCUAAGGUGGGGUAAACGGUGGCAGUGUAAAUGCUGGUUAUGAGUAAAGAGACUGCAGCAGAGGGGUGAAUAGAGAGGAUUUCCAUCUCUCCAUCCAACAGCACCCUGGGGAUACUCAGGCUCUUCUUUAAUGUCAACAACAUCAGGCGUCCAGGCACACAGGUAGCUGAUGGGGUACAACUGAGAAGUCCUGUAGUAGAAGACAAAUAGGAAUAGAAGAAGAUUAGAGGUGAACCAUAUUUUUGACAAUAAAGUGGCAGUAUCAGAAGUGCAGUUCUCUAACCACAAGCCAGAUGGAAACUGAAGCACGGAAAGACUAAAUGACUUGCUCAAGAUGAUACACUAUAUUUGUGACAGAACCAGCAGCAAGCCCAGACCUUCUGAGCCUCAGUCCAAUGCCUUUACCAACUGCAAGACCAUCCUUCCCAGACCAUCCCAGGAAUACAAUAGGAGACGUCAUUUCCUGAAGCCUCAGACAAGGAAGAGCCAAAUCACAUUACCAGUGCUUAAGCAGCUGAAGUGGCCACUUCCACUAUUAUGCCUCCAGAAGACAGAUUUGUUCCUUUGUAUCUGCCAGGGCCACCAGGCUUAAGAUUUUCCCCUCUGUGCCUUCUUUCAUACCAUCCCUUACACUUCAAAAAACCACCCAAUUACAGUUUGUCAAGUACCCUCCAUCUCUUCCUUCAAAAAUCAAUAAAGACCAAUCUAUUCUAUGAGGCAUUCCAC